UACGGAGGGGGCUAGCGUUGUUCGGAAUUACUGGGCGUAAAGCGCACGUAGGCGGACCUGCAAGUUGGGGGUGAAAUCCCGGGGCUCAACCCCGGAACUGCCUCCAAAACUGCUGGUCUGGAGGUCGAGAGAGGUGAGUGGAAUUCCAGGUGUAGCGGUGAAAUGCGUAGAUAUCUGGAGGAACACCGGUGGCGAAGGCGGCAUCCUGGACCGAUAUUGACGCUGAUGCGCGAAAGCCAGGGGAGCAAACGGG
Molecule: ribosomal RNA, 253 nt
Filed under: uncultured bacterium
Lineage: Bacteria
Description: partial 16S ribosomal RNA
Rfam family: Bacterial small subunit ribosomal RNA
Source: RNAcentral